Molecule: long non-coding RNA, 610 nt
Organism: Catharus ustulatus (Swainson's thrush)
Lineage: Eukaryota; Metazoa; Chordata; Aves; Passeriformes; Turdidae
Exons: 3
Source: RefSeq, a predicted model, not a curated record
AGGUACCCCCAGGUGUGCCCAGGUGUGCCCAGGUGUAUCCCAGGUACCCCUAGAUAACCUCAGGUGUGUCCUGAACACCCCCAGGUACAUCCAGGUGUGCCCAGGUGUCCCUCAGGUACCCUCAGACACUCCCAGGUAUCCCUUAAGUACACCCAGGUGUGCCCAGGUACCCCCAGGCGUAUCCUAGAUACCCCCAGGUGUUCCCAGGUGUCCCCCAGAUAACCUCAGGUGUGUCCUGGACACUCCCAGGUACCCCCAGGUGUCCUUUAAGUACCCCCAGGUGUAUCCAAGACACCCCCAGGUGUGCCCAGGUAAUCCCAGACACUCCCAAGUGUCCCUCAGGUGUGCCCAGGUGUAUCUCAGGUGUCCCUAGGUGUAUCCAAGACACCGCCCAGAUGUCCCCAGGUGUAUCUGAAGUACCCCCAGGUGUAUCCCAGGUACCCCCAGGUGUACCCAAGUGACCCUUAAGUACCCCCAGGUGUAUCCUAGGUACUCCCAGGUGUGCCCAGGUGUAUCUCAGGUGUGCCCAGGUGCAUCCAAGACACCCCCAGGUACCCCCCAGGUAUCCUUUAAGUACCCCCAGGUACCCCCAGACACCCCCAGGUGUAUC